AUACGGAGGGUGCAAGCGUUAUCCGGAAUCAUUGGGUUUAAAGGGUCCGCAGGCGGUCAAUUAAGUCAGAGGUGAAAUCCCGUCGCUCAACGACGGAACUGCCUUUGAUACUGGUUGACUUGAGUUAUACGGAAGUAGAUAGAAUGUGUAGUGUAGCGGUGAAAUGCAUAGAUAUUACACAGAAUACCGAUUGCGAAGGCAGUCUACUACGUAUAUACUGACGCUCAUGGACGAAAGCGUGGGGAGCGAACAGGAUUAGAAACCCCGGUAGUCC
RNAcentral lists this ribosomal RNA (274 nucleotides) under uncultured bacterium. RNAcentral's name for it is "partial 16S ribosomal RNA". It matches the Rfam family "Bacterial small subunit ribosomal RNA", at positions 523 to 796 of the family's 1533-position model. The record is from RNAcentral.